GUGCUGGCUUCAACAGCACAAAUACAAAAAUUGGAAUGAUACAGAGAAGAUUAGCAUGGACCCUGGGCAAGGAUGACAGGCAAACUCUUGAAACAUUCCAUAUUUAA
Sciurus vulgaris (Eurasian red squirrel) is the source of this 107-nucleotide small nuclear RNA. The record is from Ensembl. NCBI's taxonomy places the organism in Eukaryota, Metazoa, Chordata, Mammalia, Rodentia, Sciuridae.